Molecule: long non-coding RNA, 18445 nt
Organism: Acinonyx jubatus (cheetah)
Lineage: Eukaryota; Metazoa; Chordata; Mammalia; Carnivora; Felidae
Exons: 6
Source: RefSeq, a predicted model, not a curated record
AAAGAAAUAAAAUGAAGGACCAGCUUCCAUUUUUUAAAAAAGAGCAUGUUAUGAAAAACUAAUAGGCAUAAAUAAAAUAACUUAUGUAAAUAUGAAAAAUAAGCUAUUUGAGGGGUGCGUGGGUGCCUCAGCUUGUUGGACUUCUGACUCUUGAUUUCAGCUCAGGUCAUGAUCUCAUGGUUCAUGGCAUCGAGCCCCACAUUGGGUUCUGAGCUGACAGUGCAGAGCCUGCUUGGGAUUUUCUGUCUCCUUCUCUCUGCCCCUCCCCCUCUCUCCAACUCUCCCUCAAAAUAAAUAAACAUUAAAAAAAAGAAAAGAAAAAAGAGGCUAUUUGAAAUAUUUGAACUAAAAAUGUUAGUAAUUUGAAUUAAAAAUUCAGUUGAUAGGAUAAGCUCUAGCCUGAACACAAAUACAUAGAGAAUUAAAGAAUUGCAAAAUCAUACUGAGGGAUUUACCUGUACACAGCCAAAGAUAGAAAAGAUAUGAAAAAAGACAAGGACCAUAGUUUGAAUAGCUACAACACAUGGCAAAUAGGAGUUCUCAAGAAGGAAAGCAAUCCUUGGAGAUGUAAAUAGCAGAGGCUUUUCCGUGACUGAAAAAAGAGAAGAGUCCUCACACGAAAGGAGCUGAGUGCUAAGAUGAAUAAAGAAAACUCAUGCUUACCAUGCUUACCAGACACAUUGAAUUAAGAAUGCAGAGUGCUAACAUUAAAGAGAAGAGGUUUGGGGAGCCUGGGUGGCUCAGUUGGUUAAGCAUCCAACUUCAGCUCAGGUCAUGAUGUCAUGGUUUAUGAGUUUGAGCCCUGCAUUGGGCUCUGUGCUGACAGCUCAGAACCUGGAGUGUGCUUUGGAUUCUGUGUCUUCUUCUCUCUCUCUGCCCCUUCCCUACUCACACUCUCUCUAUCUCUCAAAAAUAAAUAAACAUUAAUAAAAAAAAAAAGAAAUCAGAAAUUUCUGGAGAGGAAAUAUAUUCUCUAUAAAGGAGUAACAACUGCAUUAACAGUAGAUUUUUUACCAAUAACAACACAAAAACUCCACUGAAAGAAAUAUUAAAGGAUGUUAUUCACUAAGAAGAAAAGUGAACCCAAGGCAUGGAAUAUAAGAAAUAAUAAUAAGACAGAAAUUGAUAACAUUUAUCAGUGAGUUUAAUUAAUUAUUGACCAUGAGGGCAUGCAUAUUAACCAUAACCAUACUUUUGGAUUUUAAAAAGGGUAUAAUUCAAGCUCAAUACAGCAAUAGUAAGAUAGGGGGAAAGGAAUACCAUGUUUAAUCUCUAUUAGGCCUAUGCCAUAGUAAAAAGAAAAAAAAAGGAUAGAAAUAAUGAAUAACUUUAGCUUUUGUUUAAAAAGUUUAUGGUUAGGGUAGCCUGUGUGGUUCAGUUGGUUGAGCAUCUGACUCUUGAUUUUGGCUCAGGUCAUGAUCCCAGGGUUGUGGGAUCGAGCCCUAUGUUGGGCUCUGUGCUGAGCAUGGAGCCUGCUUGGGAUUCUCUCUCUCUCUCCCUCUGCCCCUCGCCCCUGUGUGCAUGUGCUCUCUUUCUAAGAAUACAAAAAAUAAAAAAGAAUAAGUUUAUGGUUAUAAAUAUGUAUUUUUUAAAAAUUAAAGGGAACCACUAUAAUCAAUAAAUAAAUUUGUAUCUAAACAUUCUAAGUAUAUGAAAACUAUUAAUACAGUAGAAGGCAGAAAAGGAGAAGUUUACAAAACAAAAAAAAAUUAUGGCAAGGUGAAAACCCAAAAUAAGAAGGCAGUUCAAACAUACCACAAAAAAUAUAAAGGGAUCACAUUUAUCUAGUAAAAAUGGUUAUCAGAGUGGAUUUUUUAAAAAUCCAGCUGUAUUCCUCUUUUAAGAGACAUAAGUAAAACAAAACCAAAAGAGAAAUUUUGAAUAAAAAAGAGGUACCAUGUAAUAAUAAUAAAAAGAAACCCAGUACAGUAAUAUUUUAUUGGACAAAAUAGACUUUAAGGUAAAGGCUCUAUAUAAUAUCAGAUGAAAUAAUCCACCAAGAUGUAGCAUUCAUGAUCUAUCCGCAUCUAACAGCAUUAACUCUGAAAAAUACAAAGCCAAGGCUGAAAGAAAUAAAAGGAGGCAUCAACAAAUCUAUAAUCAUAGUGUAGAUUACUGAGAUCAAGGAAAAUGAAAACUUAGCAAGAAUUUAAGAGGUUUGAACAACAAAUCUACUAGAUAUAUUGGAAAAAGUCCUUAUAUUCAACAUUAGACCUAAAUACAUAUUUACAUAAUCUUAUCUCCAAUUCAAGUCACAAAGGAUAGCUCAACAAAUGUACAAGGAUAUUAUAGAGACCAUAUUCUCUGACUAUAAUGCAAUUAAAUUUGAAAUCAGCAAUGAAAAGUAAUAAAAACAAUAAUGACACAUGUCUAUAAACUAGCAAAGCAACCUACUAAAUAACUCAUGAGUUAAAAAGGAAUUCACAAUGGAAAUGAUAAAAUAUUUAGAAGUAAAUGACAAUGAAAGUACCUCACCUGUGGAAGCUGGUCCAAAAAAAAAAAAAAUGCUGUUAAUGGUAUUUUGGGGACAACUGGCAAAAUUUGAAUAAGGUCUAUAUAUUAGAUAAUAGCAUUAUAUUAAAUUUUCUGAUUUUGAUAAUUAUACUGUGGUGUGAGUGUCUUUGUUCUUAAGAAAUAUUCACUGGGGCACCUGGGUGGCUCAGUUGGUAAAGCGUCUGACUUCAGCUCUGGUCAUGAUCUCAUGGUUCGUGGGUUUGAGCCCUGAAUCGGGCUCUGUGCUGACAGCUCGGAGCCUGGAACCUGCUUUGGAUUCAGUGUCUCCCUCUCUCUUUGCCCCUCCCCAGCUCUCACUCUGUCUCUCUCUGUCUCAAGAAUAAAUAAAACAUCAAAAAAAAUGUUUAAAGAAAUAUUCAUUAAAAUAUUUAGGGAUAAAGGCAUAUGAAACAUUCUCAAAUUGAUCAGAUGAUGAUGAUGAUGGUGAUACCUAGAGAGAAAUAACAAAAAUGGUAUACGGGAGUGAAGGGCAAACAAUAUUCUUUUACACUAUUUUUAAUAAUUUUUUGUGUAAGUUGGAAGCUUGAACUUCAAAAUAAAAAGUUUAAAAAAGAAAAAAAAAACUAAUGCAGUCAGAGUUAAAGUUAAAUAGUUAGUAGUUAAACUACUUAAAACUCCAAAUAGUUCUGUUUUUUAAGAAGGAUAGUGAUUUGCCAGAAUGAAUUUCCCUUCUGAAGAUUCUCAGUUUCACUGAUUGGAUAAAACAAAAACCUGUUAUGUGAGAAAACAGCAUGUUCUGCAAAUGAGCAAAGUAGCCCACAAUGUCUGUUGUGUAUGGAACAGCAUCUCAGGGUUGUUGGCACCAUUUGUUAGGAAUUGCCUUGGGGAUAAACACAGACUAGUGACUGAACAGUGAUGUCACACAAUUGUUUUAAAUAAAUGAACCAAAAACGCCAUUUGUGCCACAUUCCAACUAGGUCAUAAAACUUUAUUUAAGAAGUUUUGACCCCAGGAUUUCUCGAAGCUAUUCACAAUACUUUGUUUUGACUCCUCUCUCCAUGGGUCAUGAUUCAAAACAGUGCAACCCAAUCUCCUUUAAAAUGUUGCCUGUGAAAUCUGGCUCUUAACUUCAGAAGAGCGCUAAAGUGUCAACACGUGGCUGAGAGAUUGCUUCCAGACGCUCAACACUGUGUAGAAAGAUCCAAUGGUGGAGGAUAAAAGCAGGAAUAUGGUACAAUGCUGUGCGAUCACCAAGGAGUAAACGUGAGUGUGGAGGAAGGAGGAGAGAGAAGUGAGAACAGAGAAAAGAUGGAUGAGCAACAUGUGGUUUUGAGACGAGCUCUAAGGAUAGGUUUGGGAAAAUCUACCAGCCCCUACACGUCCACAAGGUCACUCAGUUGCCAGGUAAACCUUUUCGGUGAAUAAGGAGAAAGUCCUAGACUGAGGGCUUUGGGAAGGUUGCAUGGUGGAGAAUCAUUGCUAGAGAUGAUAGAGAAGAAUAUAGAUGCCAGAUGUGUGAUGACACUGUUUUCUCAGUCAGUAGAUUACGGUGGGCUUGAUGGGCCAGGCCAUGCGGAUUGUUUGGGGACCUUACGCAUUUUUGCAGCAGACUUACUUUGUAGUCCUCCUUUGGGACACCUCUCUCCUUGCCCCAUCAGACCCACAGUCUUGGGCCUGCAUUAUUUCGCAAAGUCAUAGCAACUCUUGGGUCAAUGGUGCUCACAGCAUAAUGGCAGCCAGGAGGAGACUAGGAAAUUAUGCCACUUCUACAAGACAGCGCAGUUUAGGUUUUCAAUGAAUUCUUUACCUCUUUAUUUUAUGUCAAAGUCUAUCUAUUUUAAUUAAAAUUACUCCAGAAAAUAGAGCGUGGAACCAACGCUAGCAGUGCACAUUUUACUUCUAGCAAGUAUAGAGGGUCAGGAACUACCUGAAGUUUGCAAGCUGUGCCUAAGUAUCAUCAUCUCAUGGGAGAUGGCUAUGCUUCUGAGGGCUCCAGCCCUGGUCUCUAUUUCACCUGACCAAAUUCCUGUCACAGCUGUUUCCCACAGAAAACCUUUCUAGCCUGGAUGGGUCAAGCGGAGAAUUCCUAAUCUACCAGGUAAGUGUGAAUACCUUUUUUCUAAACUUUCCUUCCUGACAGCUAUUAGCUGUGAAGGGAAAGAGAAGAAAAAAUCUGACUAUCUGAAAAUAAAUAUUUCAUAGGAGCAAUCAGUGAAGGUUCUCGUGGAAUUUGGGGGCCAUAGAAAAUAGCGCUGGAAGACAGCAAUGUUCAAACUCUCCCUAUUACCCCACAUUUUAUAAAGAUGCCUCAAGUGCCAAAUCAUCACUGACAUCAUCACCACCACCAUCAUCAUCAUCAUCAUCUUCAUUAAGUCCAUCUCUACUCCUCCUGCCCAUAAAGGGUUUCAAUGGAUGCUAUUUGAAAACCUCCAACUUAAGAAAAUGAGGCCCAGAGAAAUUGAGAGCCAUACUCCACGCAUGCCAGCGGUGACAGUAUUGGCACACAGCCCCUUUGCCCACAGAAACAUUUACUCAUUGUCUGGAAGUUACUGCAUCAUAAAAAAAAAAAAAAAAAAAUAGAUGGCAGAAACUCCAGUAAUUUCCAGUGUAAGAAAGACACUGUCGGAGUCAGAACACACAAAAAUGUGUCUUCAAGCCCUCCAAAUAUGGGCAGCCAGGCUAAAACUCUUUGCAGCAUUUAUAUUAUUAACAAGCAGCAGACUAUGUCUCCAGGAAUUUGUAUGACAUCUCCUCCACCCCAACAUGAGGUCCAGGCUAUGGAGUCAGUGUAAGAAAGCAAACAAAACAGAGAUGCAGGGUAUGUGUAUUCUUAGGAACUCUUGGAUGCGUCCCACAAUAGUGCUAGCCUUCUCCACUCUGCCCAGGACUUAAAUUAGGCGUGCCAUCACAUCAUUUGGCAAGGAUUUUGUUCCUGUUUUUUUUUUCCCAGGGAGAAUAGGGAGAAAGGAUAGGAAACACAACUUCACAUAAUAGCAUGGCUAUAUUUAUGUACUAUUUUAAAACUUUGCACAGUUCACCCACAUACUGCAAAUUAAGUAAGUUUCACAGUAAUUCUAUGAGAGCAAAAGAGCUGCAUUUUCCUUAUUCCACAAACAAGGAAAAGAAGGAGAGGGCAGUCAUAUGGUUCGCCCAAGGCCACUCCAUCGGUUGGUGACAGAUGGGAUGGGAUGAUCAGUCAGUGACUGAAGGAGGAACACUCCAUUUUAUUUUCCAGCAGACUCUAGACUGGAUUCGGGCUCUGUCCUUCAGUGAACAGGUUGUAGGCUCAAACAGAGGGACCGUUCUAAUUUGAGGAAACGGAACAGAGAAGAAAUUUCAAUGGCGCAUGGAUCAGAAGGGGGAAAAAAAAACAACCAUAGACAGAUGACAUGUAUCACAGGAUUCCCUCUGACCUGUGUGUUCUUCAAAAUUGUUUUUUAGAUCACUUAUAUCCAAAUAUAGACUUACCUUUGGUGAAUAAGUAAGUUGUGGCACCACAGACUUGCGUACCCUUUGCUGGUCAAAACUACCCUUCCCCACAAAGAGUUUUAAAUCAGUUUAACUGACCCCUGAAAUAAGGCUGAAAAAACUUUUUAAAUGAAGAGUGAACUUUGAAAGCAAAGAUCUCUGGUAAUGCCAAAGCAAGUCCCAGGAGUGAGAGGGCUAAUUUGGCAGCUGUCAGGACGGAUCAGUUCAUGGAGUGAGAAAUGGGUUGAAGGGAGGAGGCUCUGUCUACAAGGACAAAGCUGGGCAUGUAGGUCCAAUUUUUCAAGCUGCUUCUCUUCCUGAGGGAGCCACCCAUAAACCCCCACAUGCCUUGCCACCUCAUCUGAUAGAAGUAGAAUGCUACCUCUGGCACAGAGUCAUUUCUAAUUUCAAUGGCAUUACUGGGGCCUGAAACAUCCAUGGUCAGAAGUCCUGAAAUAACAUAGGUUUUUCAGCGGCUUGUCUGAGCACUCCUGGAAUUCCUUUAAAAUGCAGCAGGAUGAGUAACUCUGGGCUCAUUUCUGCAGAGAGGGCUGGGGAAAGGCCCAGAUGCACAAUGCCAACAGUGCAAAAUUUGUAAAGCAAAUCUAGUUAACAAGCUGUUACUUUUCAGACCAAAACCUGUUGAGAAUUAAGACGUCUUUCCGGAAACCCAGGGAUUAUUAUUCAUUUGCCUGUUUCACCUGUGCCAGUAGCUUCAGGAAAUAGCAAGGUGGGACAGCCCACAAGAAAGCUAGCAUCAACCACAAAGGAUGUUCGCGGCUCAGGCAGAACCAAACCUGGUUAAAAAGGCUUUUCAACUCAGGAAUAGCUUCCCACUCCAAGAGAGUUUCUGAUCAUCCCAGAAGGUGAUCUUGGGAACUUCAGCACCUUUGAAUAAAUAUGAAUACCAAAGAACAAAUCCAAAUAUUCUUGGGAAGACAAGUUAUUUCUUUUUCUUUCUCAGGGGCCAGUGUUAAAAGCCCCUGACAACAUUCCUGGGGAGCACAUGUGCCUCUUGUUCAGGGAACUGGAGCAUUGGACCAGGGGACAGGGAACCAUUGGAUCAGGGAACAUUGACCUUGGGCUAAUCAUUUAAUUUGGGAUUGGUAAUUCAUAGUCAAAGCCAUGAUUACUGUGAUCUAACAGAAGUAAGCCUGCCCAGGCAUGGGGACCCAAGGGUUAUAAUUUUAAGGAUUUAUUCUUUGGGAGUGGAGGCAAAAUGAUGAUGGAAAUAGAGCAGCCCAGAUUUGAAUGCCUUAUCCGUGAGUUUUAUUAGGGCUCCUACGCCUUUCAACAAGCCUUGAGGGCUUUCUAGUGGGUCUGGGGAGGGGAGGCAUAACCCUUGUUAGCUCACAGGUAUAGAGGCAGGACUUGGGUGGUUCAUCAGCCCACACAAGGGAUACUUGGAAGACAUCGAGAAACGAUAUUUUUGCUCACCGUUGUCUCACCAGAGCAAUCUUCUGGAAAACUUAAAUUUAAUGUUCUUAUCCCCUAUUCAAAAUGGCUUUCCAUUAUUCUAAAAUAAAAGCCAAACUCCUCAGUACUGAUUACACAUCCCCGUGUGAUCCAGUCCCUCCCUACCUCUCCAGACCCUUGCUUUCCUCCUUCCCUUUAAUCCAGCCUCAAGGACUAGAUUUCGUUUCCUCCAAUAACCAAGCUCUUUCUAUCUAGAGCACUCACUUACCCUUCUUUACGUUUUAAUAUCUACUUUUCUUUCAGUGUGCAGCUCAAAUAUCACUUCUUCUGAGAAGCCCUCCUUGAAUCUUCCUGUAUUAGAUCAGAUAAAACCUCUCAUACUGCUCUUGUAGAACAUCCUAUUCCUUUCUUUUAGGACCUUUAUCACAGUUGAUAAUUACAUACUUACUUGUUUACUUAGUGGAUUAAUUCCAGACUUUCCCACUAGAUGAUAAGCAGUAUCUACUUGCCAUUGUAUCUCUAAUGCCUACCAAACUGGCACAGAGCAGACACAAGAUCCAAUGAUCUCACUAGGAUGAAGGUGAUGUGAAUGGAAGAUGGCAACCUUACUCUAGAAAUCCAGAACACUGCUAUGAUCCACACCUGCAGGCCUUACUGGGCAAUGGAGCACCUAUGAAUAAAACAAAUUCAUUCUUUUCUGUUGUUUUGGCUGUUGGCAACACUGGGGGAAUUUGAGAAGAGCUGAAAUCCCAAACUUCCUUGUUGACUUUCUUUAGACAUAAACCCAGCUGGAACACAUUCUACCACCUGCCCUGUCUCUGGGGGAGCACACAGGGCAAAGUGAGGGAGUCUGUGUGGAGGCACUCUAGCCUGACUGUGGGAUCCAAUAUAGCACAUACUUUAAAAUAUGCUGACAUGGAGUUAUAGCUCUUCAAAGCACUGGAGGCAAAACCCCUUGUUUUUAAAACAAAGCAUUCAUACAGAGCCAAGAAUGUCCCUGAGUCAACAGUCCUAACCCUUUCUCAGUCUGCUUAUGAGGCCCUGGGUCUCAGAUGGAUGAACCAAGGACCUGCCACUUAGAGACUACUGUCUGCUAACCCCAAGUGACAUUGGUCGAGCCUAGACUGUGUAUAGUAGGAGCCUGGGAGAUAACAGGAGAUGAAGAACAUAGAAGGCUGCUGAUGUAGCUGUGUAGACAGCUAAGAACAGAACAAUUAGAGAAUAAUUCCAAGGUUACACAAAAGUAAAAGUGUGAUGGGAUGGUACAGACCCUCCUCCUGAGCGAACUUCCUUUGCUUUAAGGAUGAGAUUCCUAUGAAUGAGGUCAUUCAGGAAGUCUUCUUGGAGGAGGUCAGUUUGAGCUUUAAGGGAAAAAAAUGGAUUGGCAAAGAGAGCAGAACUGGACCUACAGUAACCAUGCUGCCUGGGGCUGAGAGUCUGUGUGAGCGCUGUCAUCACAUGGGAUGCCUCUCCUCAACCAUUUGGAGAAAAAGUAAAUCCCUUUGUAACAUCUAGGCGAUGCGGGUGAAGAUUUGUCCUGCUUUUCAAGUUAGGAUAUUAUGUAGUCCCAGUGGCUCUCUGAUUCUCUCAUGAAUCCAGGAUUCCAGGUAACACUCACUUUGUUUCACCAGCUGAAUCAGGCCCCCACUCCCAGAAGAACUGAAAACUAUCUUAUAACUUGGACUGAGCACUUUUGCUUCCUGUUUGUUAUCUUUCCUGUUGUCUGAAUCAUUCUCCAAGGAAACACUGAAGUCCUCCUGAAUUUUAAUCAGCUGUGUCCACUUAGCUUCUGUUCACCUAGGCAAAGGGGCAAGAAUAAAGGCACAAGGCAUACCGCAACAGCAAUUACUUUCCACGAGGAGUCAGAGAUUGGAAGUGAAGCUAAAAGCAUCUCUUUUAAGGCAAGCCAUUUCCCCCAGGGAGUUUGCAGCUUGGAGCAAAGGCAGGACAAUAAAAGAUCAAGGAUGUCUUUCUAAGACUGCAAACAGAGCAGCUGACACAUUCAAGUUGGUCUGCUUUUGACCUCUUUAAAUGCCAGGACAGCAGCAAAGUGCCCACAUCACAUCUGUUAUAAGCUGGCCACCCAUCUUUUUUAUUUUAAACCACAAACUCCGAGUGUUUGUAGAGAACAGGCAGGGAAGGACAGCCUGGGAGAUCAGGCCCCUGUUUCAGCUGGUGUCACUCAAGCCUGUCUUCCCCAGAGUAGUUUUCUGUACUUCCGUCUUUCCCCUGUCUGUCCCACUCUGGAAGUCUGUCCCUCUCCCUGCUCUUACCUCUAAUGGUUUCGGCACCUUCAUUUUCAAAUGCUAAUGAAAAUCGUGCUAGGCUGUGCAAAUGAACAACUCCAGGGUAAUCUUUCUCCCAUUGUCUCUCCUGUAGUUGGUAGUUAGACCUUGGAACUGAUUCCAGCAGCACUGAGGUCACAGCUACUGCUAAAGCUAAAUCCCAGUUCGACUUUGUUUAGGAGGUGGUCCUUUGUCAUUUUCAUCUCCAGAUAGAACCUCUGGAAACCUCUGUUUUCCCAGAGGUAAAAUAAUAAAAAAAGAAGUAGCCCAAGGUGAGUGCACACAGGUGGAUGAGGUCUCUUGUUGAGGGCAGAAGGUGUCUGUGAGUGCUGGGUCCUCCUUGUGAGCACGGUCAUCGUGUCCUGCAAACAGAGCUUAGUGAAGUUACAUCCACCUGUUGUGGUUUUCCCAAGAGGGAGAAAGAAAUGACUGGGACUCUACUAACGACCAUUAGCAGCACACUUUGGGUUGGGUCUCUCAAACUUUAACAGGCAUACAGAUCCUCCUGACUUUAAAAUGGAGAUCUCCUUUCAGUCUGGUCUCAGACAGAGCCUGCAUUUCUACCAGGCACCUUGGUGAUGUUGAGGCCACUGAUCCCAUGCACAUUUUGAGUAGCGAGGGGUUGGGUUUUUGUUUACUGCCUUCCUACCCUCAGCUGGACUAUGUCAUUUUAUCAAAACAAUAUAGUAGGAGUGAUACCCAAUUAUUAGCCUCCUGAAUCAUCCAUUGUUAGAGCUAUUUCUUGCAGCUACAUUAAAAAAGCCCCUCCCGGUAGUUCCCCAUUGCACAAGAAGCCCAUUUGUAACGAGACACUUUAGGCAAGCAAGACACUAUGCAAAACAUUUUUGGCUCUUUCUGCUGCCUGACAGGUGGCUGCUGGUUGAUGUUGGAAUAGGAAGUUUUAUAUGAUAGCGUUGACGGUGCUGAUUCUGAAGGGGGUGAGGAGUACUUUGCUGUGGCAGCUUUAGCUCCCACUCAAUGCCCGCUCCCACCCCCCCAGGCUUAUGGGAAAGAUGAGGUGGAAGCUGGGAGAGAAGCAUCGGGCCAUGCUCUGCAGACUGGGGGAUAUUAUUUUUCACUUUCUCUGCUGCAGGGCUUCCCACGCCUUUUAUAAAUAUUUAUAGGACAAUUUCCUUCUUGAGAGUGCCCAAGAGUGGGGGAUGGUGAGGAGGAUGGUUGAACUGGGAAAGUAGGGAAAAGGUGGUGCUCACAUGUAUGAAGAUUAGAAGGUGGCAGAAAGCUCCAGAGGGCUCAUUCCAGGCCAGUCCCAUCACUUGCAGGAAGAGGAGUUGGACUAGACUAGAGAUAUUAAGUCUGGGGGCAGGGGUUUAAAUUAGCAACUCCAGUCCUUAGAUUUCAACUGAUUCUCAGAAGGUCCCUGAUUCACAAAAGGUUAAUCAGCACCAACCAGGAUCAUUUCCUAGCCCCUCCCAGAGUGGAUAUUUAGAGUGCUAGGCUUCAAGAAAUGGCAGACCUCAAGCUUAGGUCGUGGGAUUCGGAGGGCCAAGACAGCCACUUAGAAUCAUUUUCUAGCAGAGGCGAAAGGGGCUCAGCUGUCGGCAACCCCAUUUUACAGAGGGAAAGCUGAGGUAUAGUCAACUCAAGUGACUCUCCUAAACCACGGGGUCAGAAGAUAAGUCUGGCUUAGAAUCCAGGCCUGGCACAGGGAACACUGGUCUGCACUGGCCGAAAAGCCCCUUCAAUCAGGCUGUCGCCUGGGAAGGGCAAGACAUUUGUGGCCACAGCACCAGGAGCCCCGCUGGUUAUUUCUAGCUUGCUGAAUGUCAAAAAUCCAGGCCGCUUCUCACAGCAGCCUCCACUUGUCAGACCAAAUCAAGGCAUCCACGCGUCAAGCAGGCGAAUCAGCUGCCUCCAGCACUGGCCUCGCUGCGCCCGCCCAGCGCGGUGCACCUGACCUUGUCCGGAUGCAGCCGGCCAGCGAGCCCCGCCCCCGCGCCCAGGGCCACUGCUCCCACCUGCAGCCCCCGCGGUUUCUCCGUGUGGAGCCCGCUUGGCAGCCUGCCUUGGCCGACUGUGACCACAACAGACAGCCUCCCACGGCCUUUGACCCUAGAGAGGGAUUGGGUAGAACCCUCUGCCUGCUCUCUGUUCCGGUUUGGAAUUUCCCACCUUCACUUGCUUUUCUUCUCAACACACUUCUCACCCUGCAGCCCAGUUCCUUUUUAGGUCCAAAUCAGCAAGCUUGUUUGUGUCUGCAGAAUCCUGUUUCACAGCAAUUGCAAGGCAACACUAGUCCUGAGUGUCUGCUGUUAGUUUCUUGUCCCAACUUCUCUUCAUUGAAUAUUGGAGCAACUGCUGGCUAGGCUUUGGAUACAGCAGACUGACCUUGACCCUCAGGGAGCCCACAAUCUUCUGGGGGAAGAGAAGGUGAUGUUUUAAGCUGUGAUUUGAUGGUUGCUAUGGAGUUUGCUAGAGGAAAUGGGGGUUGGGGGCAAGGAUCAUUGCAGGCAGAGAGAACACGGCAAGGUGUAAGGCCUGAAAGAAGGCAGAGGGGCCACCCAGGUAAAGAGACGGGAGCAAUUAGCAUGUGAUGAGUUGGGAAAAAGCCAGAAAGGGACUUGUGAGCCAGAGAAAGGAAUGUAGACUUUAUCCUGACAAUUCAGGGCUUUGGAGGGGGGUUUACCAUUUGGUUUGGUUUUGGUUUUUUGUUUGUAUGGUUUGCCUUGGAGGGUUUUUAACAAAGAAGUGACCAAUCAGAUUUGAUUUAUAGGUGGGCCUGGAGGCCCUGUAAGUCCCAAUACAGGGUCAGUAGCAGCAUUUUCAAGGGUAGGGGCUAUGUUCUCCCACUUGGGGCUCAAAUUGGGGCUCCUACUUGGGGUGAUUUCUUCACCCCUUCCCUGAUGCUUUUUUCCUACACCCACCCCCACUGUGACUGGUUUGUUCUUUGGCGUCUUACUGGCCCUUCCUAAACUUUAGUCAAGAUACUAGGUUGACAGUAUUCCCAAUCUACCACCCUGUUUUCAAUCAUUUAUUUACUCAUCUCACUUAUAAGAAGUUGCUAUACGCCAGGUGUUUUGCCAAUCACUGGGGGGUGCGGAAGGGAAGACUCACAUGUUUCCUGAUCUCAAAGAGCUCAGAAUUUGUCCAGUAGUUCCUCCACUUGCCCAUGCACCAGAAUCCUCUGUAAAGUUCUGAAAAAUACAGCUGAUUGAAUAUCACUGGACUGACUAAAUUGGAAUCUUUGGAGGUAGGUUCCAUGGAGUCAUAUUAUUAAAACUCCCCUCCAGGUAAUUCUGCUGAGCAGUUAGAACUACCGAUCUUGGGAGGGAUUUCUCUGAUGGCUGUUUGUCUACAUGGUCGAUGGGGAGAACAAACCCAGAGUCUGGCUCCUAGUCAUAAGACAGUCAGAAAUCACUAGAAAGGAAGACAGGGGCAAGCUCAGUCCACUGACCUGUAAGCCUGGGACCUGCUGACAUGCCUGCAGAGAAGCAGGAGGGGUAGCAGUGGUGGGUAAAUGGAAGGGCGGGGUAGAAUGUAUUUGGAUGGUAGGGUGGCUGUGCCUGCCUAGAGUGGACAGCGCCUCUUCCUCAACCUAAAUUGUAUAAAUUGUCCAGUUAGAAAGCAGGAGACCAGCUUUCUGGCUUGUUGACACAAAGACUCCUUUUCAGCACCACCUUGAUUGUCAUGGUGAAGACCUAGGGAUGUUCACACUGGCCAGUUUCAAAUGGUGACUGUGAUGAGUAACUAGCAAAUCAGCAAGCAUGUUAUACACGACCCACAAAUCUCUACCAGUUAUGUCUGAGUACUGGGGCAAACUAAAGCAAAGGGAGUCUGUUAGCUCACUGUUCCCAGAAGUAGACCCCAUAAGUAUAACCAUCCUCCGGGGGAUUCCAGGAAGGUGCUAUCCUGUCCAAUCAUGUCUGGAAUCUCACAUCCCCAAGGAUGGGUCUUCAAGGGGUUUGAAGGAUUGGAUUUCCAGUUCCACUUUCUGUCUCUUGGCAAAGACUGUUCUGAGAAAUCUAUCUGUUAAGUAUUUAUCUGUUGAAAGCUUACUGUUGGCCAGGUACUGUGAAGCCUCAGUGAAUAUACGUACAAGCCACUGGGAAGAUAAGACACAAUUUUGUGUAAAAGUAAAUAAAUACAGGACUUAGAUAUUUCCAGACCAACCUAGAAGAACUGGCUUGUGGUUGACUGGGGUUCUGUAUUCUGACCACUUACUUGCCCAGUAUGUAUUUGAGUGCACUAUAUUCCGGGUCAUUUGCAGACAUGUAAGGCAUAGUCUUUGCCCUCAAGAAGCUCGAAUUCCAAUAGGGAACCCAGAAUGUAUCAGUAUGGAUAUGUAGCAAAUAGUGUAGGCUGGGACGAGAGAGUGAUUCAGUAUCUGCUUUAGCAUCAAUAGGGCUUGUCCUGAAAUAUCCAACUUUUUUUUUCCAUACCCUAGACGUCUUUUGGGAAGAGAGCUCUGAUCAUUUUGGGAUUCACCUUAUUGGAAUUAGUGGUCAGGGCAUUACAGCCUCUUCUAUCACCAUUAUCAAACUUUGUGGUCUAGCCCCCUUGCUGGAUUUCACUUCUCUCUUCAUUCCUGUACAUCACCUCCAUUUCAGGUAUACACCCAUCUCUUCUACCAGGAACUGAGUCACUUUGGGUGGGAAGGUGAUACAAAGAGAGAGAAGAAAAAUGAAUGAAUACCUGAUCAUCUCCAGAAAAGGGGUAAGGUGAGUGCCACUUAACAGUAGAGUCUCCUAUAUGCCAAUUGUGCAAACUGUUCAUGGGCGUUUGUUUGCUCUUCUUUUAAUCACUUCCCGGAAAUACUGGUGUUUUAAAAUGACAGAAAUCAGGACCAUCAAGCCUAGAGAAGUGGGUGAAAAGUGAUUUCCACCUGGACAAAGUCACUGCGUCCCUGUGCAGAGGCAGGCGCCCUGACCCCAGCCUGAAAGCUGAAGUUGGCUCAAAGGAGGCAGGUAGGAGGAGGCCACUUCGUGUCUCACUGAGAGGAGGCAAGCUGUCUGGCUCCUGCUUAAAAACCUAUGUGCGAUUUUGUGAUUUUUUAGUCCCGACCACAGGUAAUUACAGAGGCUUUGCCUGGGGGGGGGGGGGGGGGUGCGGAGAAGCUGCCCUCGCCACAGCAACCUUGGUGCACGGCCUCUAUCGCAUCUGGAGGGAGGUGCAGUCAAGCACUCAGGCCCCCCUCGCUGGUCACGCUCUUGGCUUCUUUGCAUUCCUAGCUGGGAGACACCUUUGUUCCCGUCUCCCUGUCUGAGGCUUGAGCAGUGGUCCUCUUCAGGUGCCCAUCUCUGCUGAAUCCUCCUUAGUGGAGGGAGGGAUGGACGUGGGGGAGGAAACCCUGAAGACACUCUCUUCACUGCCUCAGUACCCAGUACUUUUCCACUCGGAGCCCUUCCCCCAGCCUUCUCCUCCAACCUCAGGGUCCAUAAAGCUGCCUUUUCCUCAGGGCCUUCCUCAUGAGCGAGACAAGCCUCACAUCUACACUGAUGCAGCUGCCCCUGACUGGUAUGCAGUUCCAUGGCAGAAAAAGGGGACGGGCACCUUCUCUGCUUUUAGACUCUUGCUUGUACUGUCACAGUGAGUGAUUAAAGGCUUGUUGCUUUAAUUGGCUACUCUGACUCCUGACAGCGAAGCCCUCUCUCCCUCUCUCUGAGCUGAGCUCCUGACAGGAGGGACUCCUCAAGCCCCCUACCCAGUGGGGAGCACACGCUUCAAGCAUGGCCCCAUUUCUGGUGGAGGCCAUGUUCCUAUUUCAGUUCUGCACUCCGUUUCUCUGUCUCUCUCACUCAUACACAACAGUACCUGAGGACAAAAAGGAACCCAGAGUUGCCACGGGGGGCUGGAAGGGAAUCAGUAGGAAAGACAGGAAUAAUGAAGCAGGCCCUGGCCAGAUCCAGACUCAGAGACCAAUUUCUUUCCAUCUAUGCUGCAGAGGAGGAAUCAGAGUUGGCAAGGUGAGUGACUUCGCUCUGGCCACCCAACUAAAGCCCAGGUCCUGAUGAUUUCCAGGCUGCCUCCUUGCUCUUGCAACCUCCUGCUACAGGUUCCGGGCAGGGCUGCGUCUCUGGGUGCCCAGGACUGUGCCCUGCCCUCUGUAGUCUGUCCUCUGAGGAGCCUCAGCCUCAAUGGGGAAAGGGAGACUAGAGCAGGGCUCUAAACUUUGAGCAAACUCACCAUCAGUCACCUGGAGGGCUGGGUAAAACACAGACCGCCAGCCCCACUCCCCGAGCGUCUGAUUCAGUAGGUGUGGGGUAGGGUCUGAGAAUUUGCGUUUCUAACAAGUGUCCAGGUGUGGCUGAUGAGAACCGCUGAGCUAGACUACGAACAGCCAAAAAGCAACAGAGAAAGAAAGAAUGGAAACUAAGCAAAGGAAGGAAGAAGGGAAGGGGUAGGGGUGACAUCGUAUCAGGGCAAGAAAUCAACCAGAAGGGCUGGGCCCUGGGAGGUUUUCCUCUUCCUCAACCACCCUGAUCUCAGGCUUACCCAGAAGUUUUCACAGUUUCCUUUAAACCCCUCCCCCACCCUCUGCGCUCUGGCCCACAGGUGAGGGCAAAAGCCCCACUUAAAUGAGAAGCCUUAGAGCCUGCGCUUAAAAAGCCCUGAGGUGGCUUCUCUUCCAACACCGUUCAUCCUCGCUUCCUUGUUGCGAUGCUGCAGGCUGCUCAACUGCCAGCUACCCAUGAGCCUCAGUUCCUGAGGAUAGAGUCCUGGAGGGUGGUUGUAGCUAACUUCCCCAUCUUUCUCUGGCUGCCCCUGUGCACUCACAGGAGCCCUAGAAAGCCUAGAGAAAGGGGCCUAAAGCUGUUCCAGUGACAGCAGGAGGAGGGCUAGAGAGUAGUCGACGCAAGGGCAGAGAGCAGGAACCCUCCGCCCAGAGAAGAGGCACUGGGGGACCCUGGACGGGGUGAGGCCAGCUGGAGGCCCCCCUCCGGCUGCCUAGUGACCCACAGAGCACCAACUGACAAGCAGCUGCUGUGAGCUUCUCUGCCCCAGGCUGGCUCUGCAGGAACAAGUGCUAACAGAAACUCACAACGGUCUGGAGAACCGACCUUUGAUUGCUCAAGAGAGCUUGUGACUAACAUCCCAGAGACAGAUUCCAGAGGGAGGAGAAGAAUAAUCCUGAAAUGAAGCUGCCAGUACCUGCUGGAGUCCUGUCUCAGGGAUGACCUAGGAGGACCAGGUCAGCACCCCAGGAAACUCUGGCUCUGAACACACUCUCGAGUACACGCUAUUCCAGGCAUUAAUCCUUCUAGACAAGUCCUGAGAUACCAAGAGAUACCAGAAAUGAAAAUGUGCCCUGCUUAGUGACUGCCUGUUCGUGUUUGGCUUACAGAGGCAUCAUGGGGACUCAAGUGGGACAAGCUGGAAUGCUGGUUUUACCUGGUACACUGUCCGGUCAAUUAGUCAAGGGGCAAGAAAACUUUUCCUGAGCCAGAAAGCAGAGCUUCGAGACUCAGCUUUGUCACCUUGCUGGGUCUCAGUUUCUUCACCUGUAAAUGAUGGGAUGGUACUGGAUGACAUGCCUUCCCCACUUCUCCGACCGGCAGUCAAUCACUAAGAACUGACAAUUACGCCUCCUGAUUGUAUUCAAAGCCAGACACCUUCUCUCCACCACACUGCAUGGCCUCCAUUCAGCCCCAUCAUUUCCCACCUGCAUCGCUGCAUCUCCUAACCGGUCUCACUACCUUCACUCUCCUCCCCUCUUCAUGCUGGGCCAGUUGUUUUUCUGAAAUUCAAUUCUUGAAUGUUUGACCCUCUAAGAGGCCCUGCCCAACUUUAUCGGCCAUAAGGCUCUACGGUGGGGUCUCUGUCUGCCCUGCAGCCUUAUUUUCUCCCCCAGCGCUCUCCCCUGCUUCACAUCCUCACGCACUCCAGGCACCCAACGCCGAGAGGUGGACCUCUCCCCCACCCGCGUAUAUGCUGUUGUGCCCUUGGAUGGGCACUCACUCAUAAACCGCCACUGGCCUGCAAUGAAGCAGAAAAUGAUUGAAUCACAGUGAAUAAAUGGGGGUAGAAGAAAAAUUAAGAGUAAGCGCUUGGAAACUUUUAUAACUACCUGACAGCAAUUUUAUGUCUGUUGAAUCUAAUAAUAAAAAUCUGGGCUCCUAUUUCAUGUCUUUUUAAAAUUUUAUUUUUCUAGUAAUUGACUUUUAUUACGUUUUAUAAAAAUAUCAGUCCUAAAUGGGUUGAAAAGGGAAAAAACACAACAACACUGGUUUACUACCACAGACAGUAUGGGGAGCUCUGGCCAGCAGCACCCUUCUACCUUCCGUUCUCCUGGGCAGAUGACUUCAUCCCCGCCGAAGGCUCUCUGUCUCGGGAGUCUUCUGCAUCCCUUCCUAGACAAGCUUGGUGCCUCUCCUCCAUGCUCCAGUGGUAUUUGGUGCAUACUUCUAAUUAUAGCAUUUAUUGCGCCGACUGUAAUUGUUGGUUUCCCUGCAGGUCCUUCCCAUGCUUAUUUCUGCUAACCUCAGAACAAGGUGCCUGGCCCAGGGCUGAGUGAGCAAUUAAGUGUUGACUGAAAUGAACAAGCCCUAAGUUUCUCACCCUAUACUCUGGUUGCCUUUCCUUUACCCAUAUAUUCCUUGUGUGUAAAAUCCUUCCUGCCUGUGUUCUCUCCCUCUGAUGCCUACUCCGUGUUCUCUACAUUAUGGAAGCUGAGGAGAUGAGGAAGAAAUGAGGAGAACUGUUUUCUGCACGUGGGGGUGAAUUUCUGACACCACCCGUCGGGUUGUCCCCUCUCUAGCUCUCAGUCUAGUCCUAGAGUUCAUAUAAGGAAGCUGGGCUUGUAGCUACAACAACUGGUGACUAAUGUGUGUGCCUGGUGAUUAAGCAUCCUUACAACAGCACAGUAU